Silurus meridionalis is the source of this 1383-nucleotide long non-coding RNA. RefSeq lists it as uncharacterized. The record is from RefSeq and is a predicted model, not a curated record. The transcript has 2 exons. NCBI's taxonomy places the organism in Eukaryota, Metazoa, Chordata, Actinopteri, Siluriformes, Siluridae.
CACGAGGCAGAGGGAGUUACGUUUAAAAGGUUUCCAUUUACGCCAUUCGAAAGACGCCCUCAUCCAGAGAAAUUUAUCUCAUUUGUAUAAAUGAGCAGCUAUGAGGUUAAGGGCCUCACUCUGGGGCCCAGGAGUUUAUCCCAGGAAGUGAAAGGAAUCCUGAGCCAAAACGGCUCCCAAGACGACGAGCCGAAGCGACAAAUACGUCCGAGUGGUGUGGAGUGACGUCCAUCAUGGAACGACCUGCUCAGUCACUGCACCUAACUGCUACUGAUCUGCUCUGGGAUGAACAAGAAACCUCCAAGUAGUGAAGAACAUCUUCAGAAUGUUUUGGAGAAACAAGUGUCCGGAUGCUGAGAUCGUCUAAAGCCGUUCUUCACGCUGAGAGAGGACUGUUUUAUUAAAAAAUAGAGCGCAACAUCUGGACGUUUCUAGAUUAGUUUGGUCAAUGGAAAUCUUCAGAAAGUUACAUCACCGAGUUUAUUGCAUAGAAACACAAGGGAUGCGCACGUGUCUCCAAAAACUCUCCAAAAACUCUCCAUGUUCUAGAAACAAAAAAUGGGUUAUGACGAGUUAUAACGCCUGUACACCCCUGUUCAGUUUCAUCUUUAAUCUUAUCUGCUCUUUCCAGUCUUUAAAUGUCCCAAAAGGAGGAGAGAAACUUGGUGUGCAUUUUUUUAUGUCCCUCCUCCACCAGAUGCUUUUCUGAUCACCACACAGAUGACAGAUGAUUGGCUGAUCGGACAAUCACGUAAAUGAACAUGUGUACAGAUGUUCCUAUUGAGGAGUUUUGAAUAUGGUUGAACUUCUAUAUGAUUUUUAAUAAGUGGUUUGAGAUGCAGGAUGAAUUCUGGACGAAUCAGAAUUUUAAAUAUAAAGAGAAAAAGCACCAGGGUUGAACUCCAAUAGCUUAGUUAUAAAUCUCACUGUGCCUUUAAUUACUAUGCAAAUAAAUGUUAUCUUCUGGCACUACUUUAUCUCUGGGUGUGACUCGGAGCAGAAGGGUUUUAUAUAUAGAAUGCGUAAUAAAAAUGAUUUCGAUUCAUUCAGGUCAGUUUUGCUCUGAACAUCAACAACAGCUUGAACUCCUCAAUGUGACCAUGGGAGAAGAUGAUCAUCCACGGCUACGUGUGAAGUCUUACACCAUUAUAACUGGUCGUUCUUCACCUCCACAUCCUGCACUAACAUCCUGUAACAGCUGGAUUAUCAGUUACAUAUUAUACAGAGGUCUUACUUGAGGCAAUAACGUGGUGUCGUUUUGCAGAAGUGUAACGCACAACUCAUCGCAGUCCAGUUCCAGCAGUUUGUGUUGGCAAAGAACGCCGACGUUGUGCUCUGAAUAGAGAUCGUGGCUGAAUAAACACUCGUCUCUGAAUUGGCAAA